This 669-nucleotide long non-coding RNA is filed under the name Nicotiana tabacum (common tobacco). RNAcentral's name for it is "long non-coding RNA (NTAB_LNC000005)". Lineage: Eukaryota; Viridiplantae; Streptophyta; Magnoliopsida; Solanales; Solanaceae. The record is from RNAcentral.
AAUAUAAAAGAUAUGAAAUACAGCAUACGAAAUAUGAAAUAGAUGGCUGGUAUAGUAAAACUAGCAGUUAAAGCCCUGCAUCAAUAGACGACCAAUGACAUUCUUAGUCUAACUCCUAACCGACUAGUCUCACUCUAUUGUGAUGUAGAAAUAUUCACUAGUUUCCCCUAACCUACAACUUUAAUGCUCGACCUCCAUAAUUCCAUGUCAAGGGCCAUGUCCUCAGUAAUCCUAAGUCGCGCCAUGUCCUGUCUGAUCACCUAUAAACUAAAAAAAAUGAAUAAUUCGAAUUGAAAUCUAAAGUCUAUUAGUAACAUUCACUAUAUUUGGACUGUGUAAAUAUUAAUACAUUUAUAUUUGAAGCGGUAUGGCACCAGAACCUCGAAAUCCUCGAUCUUGGUUGUGAGAGGGAGAGUUCCAUUUUUUGGUUACUACUUAUAUUACUGUGAAUGCACAGUUUCAACUAAGUACAUUUGAAAGACCGGUAUUUACAACGUUGUUUGUUGUUUCCGCACACACGUUUUGAAACCGACAACACCUCAGCAAUUCGCCUCCUAAAUCUUAUAUGAAAACACAUCUCAUUUCUUUGAUUUCGAAUGUUGCCAAUAAACCCUAGUUCCAUUUUCACUCCGACAAGGUUUACCUGUUCCGCAUUCCCAUUUCAUCCUA